CCUACGGGUGGCAGCAGCUAAGAAUAUUCCGCAAUGGACGAAAGUCUGACGGAGCGACGCCGCGUGGAUGAAGAAGGCCGCAAGGUUGUAAAAUCCUUUUGCUGGGGAAGAAUAAGUCCAGGAGGGCAUGCCUGGAUGAUGACAUGAACCGGCGAAUAAGCCCCGGCCAACUACGUGCCAGCAGCCGCGGUAACACGUAGGGGGCAAGCGUUGUUCGGAAUUACUGGGCGUAAAGGGCAUGUAGGCGGUUUAGUAAGCUUGGCGUGAAAGACCACAGCUCAACUGGGAGGGUGCGCCGAAUACUGAUGGACUCGAGUGCGGGAGAGGAAAGUGGAAUUCUAGGUGGAGCGGUGAAAUGCGUAGAGAUCGGGAGGAACACCAGUCGCGUAGGCGCUUUGCUGGCUCACUACUGACGCUGAGGGGCGAAAGCCAGGGGAGCAAACGGGAUUAGAUACCCGUGUAGUC
RNAcentral lists this ribosomal RNA (465 nucleotides) under uncultured prokaryote. Its description in RNAcentral is "bacterial SSU rRNA". It matches the Rfam family "Bacterial small subunit ribosomal RNA", at positions 338 to 795 of the family's 1533-position model. The record is from RNAcentral.